AUACGUAGGGAGCGAGCGUUGUCCGGAUUUACUGGGUGUAAAGGGUGCGUAGGCGGCCCUGCAAGUCGGGUGUGAAAACCGUCGGCUCAACUGACGGAUUGCACUCGAAACUGCGGGGCUUGAGUGGAGCAGAGGCAGGCGGAAUUCCCGGUGUAGCGGUGAAAUGCGUAGAGAUCGGGAGGAACACCAGUGGCGAAGGCGGCCUGCUGGGCUUUAACUGACGCUGAGGCACGAAAGCAUGGGUAGCAAACAGGAUUAGAUACCCUGGUAGUCCAUGCCGUAAACGAUGAUUACUAGGUGUGGGGGGGUCUGACCCCUUCCGUGCCGGAGUUAACACAAUAAGUAAUCCACCUGGGGAGUACGACCGCAAGGUUGAA
RNAcentral lists this ribosomal RNA (377 nucleotides) under uncultured bacterium. RNAcentral's name for it is "bacterial SSU rRNA". It matches the Rfam family "Bacterial small subunit ribosomal RNA", at positions 523 to 898 of the family's 1533-position model. The record is from RNAcentral.